Molecule: long non-coding RNA, 653 nt
Organism: Pollicipes pollicipes
Lineage: Eukaryota; Metazoa; Arthropoda; Thecostraca; Pollicipedomorpha; Pollicipedidae
Exons: 3
Source: RefSeq, a predicted model, not a curated record
AAACGAGAGUGAACUCUGGUCAGCUACAGUGCAAGACUUUCAGUCAGCAAUAUGUGGAAACUGCUGGCCAUCGCUGUUGUUUGUGUGCAGCUGUGCUGUGCACAGUACCCGAGAUACCUUCGUUUCCCGGUUGGCAGAGGUGACGACACCAAAUGUCAUGACAACCAGGUUGACAAGAAGUACAAUAUCGGUGAUGUCUGGAGCUCCCCAUUCUCUGGCUGUAAACAGAGUCACUGCGUCAAGGACAACGGCGUACUCUACAUCGACAGAUUCCAGUGUCCGUCGGUGAGAAGGCAGGUGGACUUCAAGAAGCUGAAGGCCAACAAUCUGUUCUGCCGCGAGGCUCGGGGAGACAGGAGAAAGGAGUUUCCCGACUGCUGUGCCCGCCUUGUCUGUAAACAUUACGUAGGACGGGAAGCUUGUGCCGCUGCCGGCGCACAAAUAUCCCCUGCUCUAGUCAGGGAUGGGAUGGAACUACAUUUGCUCGAGUGCGAACCAAAGAUGUUUGAAUAUUCAUCCGUGUAUGUGAAGUUGGUGUAGCCGAAUGUCCCUAUUGUUGUGCUGGCUUUCAGUGGAAGUCUUGUGAUAUUGGUGUCAUGUCUAGUGAUAUGGUUUUGUGCGAGCAGUAGACUUCAUUAACUGCAUGGUUGCCA